GAUGAACGCUGGCGGCGUGCCUAAUACAUGCAAGUCGAGCGAACGGACGAGAAGCUUGCUUCUCUGAUGUUAGCGGCGGACGGGUGAGUAACACGUGGAUAACCUACCUAUAAGACUGGGAUAACUUCGGGAAACCGGAGCUAAUACCGGAUAAUAUUUUGAACCGCAUGGUUCAAAAGUGAAAGACGGUCUUGCUGUCACUUAUAGAUGUAUCCUCGCUGCAUUAGCUAGUUGGUAAGGUAACGGCUUACCAAGGCAACGAUGCAUAGCCGACCUGAGAGGGUGAUCGGCCACACUGGAACUGAGACACGGUCCAGACUCCUACGGGAGGCAGCAGUAGGGAAUCUUCCGCAAUGGGCGAAAGCCUGACGGAGCAACGCCGCGUGAGUGAUGAAGGUCUUCGGAUCGUAAAACUCUGUUAUUAGGGAAGAACAUAUGUGUAAGUAACUGUGCACAUCUUGACGGUACCUAAUCAGAAAGCCACGGCUAACUACGUG
This 497-nucleotide ribosomal RNA is filed under the name uncultured bacterium. RNAcentral's name for it is "partial 16S ribosomal RNA". It matches the Rfam family "Bacterial small subunit ribosomal RNA", at positions 28 to 507 of the family's 1533-position model. The record is from RNAcentral.